CUAACGCAACUGUGGGGCUGCUGAUGAAUCCAUUCAGAGACAUUCUUUGAUCCAUUCCGUACCGGCACAAAGCCGUGAGUGCCUGUUAGACGCUAUUCAACACUAGAGUGACUAUAGCGCAUCAAUAGACUUGUUUAGUUUGAUUAUGACGGGUGUACGAUAAUUUCCCUCAAAAUACGAUAAUUUUAUGUCUCUGGUACGAUAAUCCUACAUUUCCCACCUGGCAACACUGCACUGAGGCCAGAAGACAUGAUCACCGAGAAAAUAGCUGUCAUUUUUCAUGUUCAAAAGGGCAGCCUGUAUUUAACAGAUGACACAAAUGUGGCCAUCUUUCCACAAGCUGGCGGCGACUUCAUGUGCUUUGACCUCAAUGAUAAAGGUCAUUAUGAAGUGCAUGGCAACAGCACCUCUCUGGAGAAGUCGGCUGGGGCACUCCCAUCUGGCCAGCCGGUCAGAUUUUCUUUUCACCGUCCACCAAGUGCAGCUGCAAGCUCCUCCUCUUCAGUACCAAGGAGCACCCCAUCCAAAACCUUUGUGAGGAAUGUCUUCUUUGCUGAUGUCCUCAAUGGAAAGCUGGAGAGCAGCAAGAUGGUGACAGUCCGCUUCACAGAGUUUGAAGCUUGUGUAGAAGCAAUCACCAGCAAGGUGAAGGAAGCCCUCGGAGAACAGGAGCAUGUUAUUUUGACAGACAGUCAGGGGAAUCAAAUAAUUGAUUCUGACGGAACUAGAGGAUCAGCAUACUGGAAGCAGAAUUCCAGGAAAGUGUUUGCAGUGCCUGAAGAUCAAAGGGAUCUGCUCCAGGUUAAUAAAAGGAGGCGGCUGAGUCGCAGAGAAGAUACUGGCCUUCAAGAGGUUGUAGCAGACAUUGAAGAUGUUGUCGAGGCAGCCCAGGGGCUAAAAGAUGUGUCGCAGAUUAUCAAAGAUCUGAGUGGAUUUGGACGUUCCACACUGACAACAACAACCCUGUCUCUGUCAGAGGCUGAAAUAGCCUCUUGAAGAGAGGUCUUCAACUGUCUUGUCUGUAAAGGUAUUUUAAAUCGACCAAUGUUCUCAACCUGCUGCAGAAGCCUGAUUGGGUGUAAGGUCUGUAUUACGGAGUAGAGCACAAGCAGCAGUUACUGCCCCAAAGUGUCGUGCUGUGGAUUUGGAGGACAACAUCCACGAAGUGGCUGGACUCUGUGAGGCGCUGGCGCCACUGGAAAAGUUGCUCCUGUAGUAUAUGUAUUCUAUCUAGUGGCAACAGGCACUUUGUUUGUUCCUUCAAAGUAUUGUGUGUAACAGUGACCAAUGUUCAAGAUUAAAAGGAGAGUUCGUAUUCAGGAAUCCAACUAAAAAAAAAAACUCCACUUAAAAGAAUGUAACUGUUACUUUAAAGCAAUACUGUUGAGUAAUAGAGAGGAGGAAGGUGUGAUGGCCAUUCAUGGUCAUUGAGAAUAUUGUUCUGCAAUGUUUUAUAUUCUUUUGUAUUUUGUACUGUUUUGUGGACUUCUGGAUAGUUCAUUUUAAGCACUUUACUGUGGCAGUCCGCUCUUUGUUUAAAUGGUUUUUAUACUUGACAUAUUUUUGACAAUAAAAGAAAUAUGCAGAGUUCUAAACAAACUUGAUAUUUAUUUACAAUAGAGCUCACUAAAUAAUUUCAUCAGUUUUUUCAUGAAGGUGAAGUACAUACAGGUCCUUCUCAAAAAAUUAGCAUAUUGUGAUGAAGUUCAGUAUUUUCUGUAAUGUACUGAUAAACAUUAGACUUUCAUACAUGUUAGAUUCAUUUCACACAACUGAAGUAGUUCAAGCCUUUUAUUGUUUUAAUAUUGAUGAUAUUGGCCAAAAAGUAAAGAAAAACCAAAAAUCCAUAUCUCAAAAAAUUAGCAUAUUCCAUCCGACCAAUAAAAGUGUUUUUAAUACAAAAAAAGUCAACCUUCAAAUAAUUAUGUUCACUGAUGCACUCAAUACUUGGUUGGGAAUCCUUUAGCAGAAAUGACUGCUUCAAUGCGGCGUGGCAUGGAGGCAAUCAGCCUGUGGCACUGCUGAGGUGUUAUGGAGGCCCAGGAUGCUUUGAUAGCGGCCUUAAGCUCGUCCACAGUGGUGGGUCUGGUGACUCUCAACUUCCUCUUCACAAUAUCCCACAGAUUCUCUAUGGGGUUCAGGUCAGGAGAGUCGGCAGGCCAAUUGAGCACAGCAAUACCAUGGUCAGUAAACCAUUUACCAGUGGUUUUGGCACUGUGAGCAGGUGCCAGGUCAUGCAGAAAAAUGAAAUCUUCAUCUCCAUAAAGCUUUUCAGCAGAUGCAAGCAUGAAGUGCUCCAAAAUCUCCUGAUAGCGAGCUGCAUUGACCCUGCCCUUGAUAAAACACAGUGGACCACCACCAGCAGCUGACAUGGCACCCCAGACCAUCACUGAUUGUGGCUACUUGACACUGGACUUCAGGCAUUUUGGCAUUUCCUUCUCCCCAGUCUUCCUCCAGACUCUGGCACCUUGAUUUCAUCCGAAAAAAGUACUUUGGACCACUGAGCAACAGUCCAGUGCUGCUUCUCUGUAGCCCAGGUCAGGCACUUCUGCCGCUGUUUCUGGUUCAAAAGUGGCUUGACCUGGGGAAUGUGGCACGUGUAGCCCAUUUCCUGCACACGCCUGUGCACGGUGGGUCUGGAUGUUUCUACUCCAGACUCAGUCCACUGCUUCCACAGGUCCCCCAAGGUCUGGAAUCGGCCCUUCUCCACAAUCUUCCUCAGGGUCCGGUCACCUCUUGUAGUUGUGCAGCAUUUUCUGCCACACUUUUUUCCUUCCCACAGACUUCCCACUGAGGUGCCUUGAUACAGCACUCUGGGAACUGCCUAUUCACUCAGAAAUUUCUUUCUGUGUCUUACCCUCUUGCUUGAGGGUGUCAAUGAUGGCCUUCUGGACAGCAGUCAGGUCGGCAGUCUUACCCAUGAUUGCGGUUUUGAGUAAUGAACCAGGCUGGAAGUUUUUAAAGGCCUCAGGAAUCUUUUGCAGGUGUUUAGAGUUAACUCGUUGAUUCAGAUGAUUAGGUUAAUAGCUCGUUUAGAGUACCUUUUCAUAAUAUGCUAAUUUUUUGAGAUAUGGAUUUUUGGUUUUUCUUUACUUUUUGGCCAAUAUCAUCAAUAUUAAAACAAUAAAAGGCUUGGACUACUUCA
Molecule: long non-coding RNA, 3145 nt
Organism: Acanthochromis polyacanthus (spiny chromis)
Lineage: Eukaryota; Metazoa; Chordata; Actinopteri; Pomacentridae
Exons: 6
Source: RefSeq, a predicted model, not a curated record